AGAGCGGCGGACGGGUGAGGUAACACGUGGACGAAUCCUGCCCCCGGCCCGGGACUAGGCCCCAGGGAAACCUGGAUUAAUACCGGAGUGACGACGGGGACCCGCGAAGGCGGGACCCGGGAAAGGCGCUGCGGCGCCGCCGGGGGAUGAGUCUGCGUCCCAUUAGCUAGACGGCGGGGUAACGGCCCACCGUGGCGACGGAUGGGUAGCCGGCCUGAGAGGGUGGACGGCCACAUUGGAACUGAGACACGGUCCAGACUCCUACGGGAGGCAGCAGCUAAGAAUCUUCCGCAAUGGGCGAAAGCCUGACGGAGCGACGCCGCCGUGAACGAAGAAGGCCGUGAGGUUGUAAAGUUCUUUUCGGGAGGGGGAACAACCGUGGCAGGGAAUGGCCGCGGGAUGACGUGAAUCCCGGAAUAAGCCCCGGCUAACUACGUGCCAGCAGCUGC
Molecule: ribosomal RNA, 449 nt
Filed under: uncultured bacterium
Lineage: Bacteria
Description: bacterial SSU rRNA
Rfam family: Bacterial small subunit ribosomal RNA
Source: RNAcentral